Long non-coding RNA from Hippocampus comes (tiger tail seahorse), 731 nucleotides. RefSeq lists it as uncharacterized. The record is from RefSeq and is a predicted model, not a curated record. The transcript is spliced from 2 exons. NCBI's taxonomy places the organism in Eukaryota, Metazoa, Chordata, Actinopteri, Syngnathiformes, Syngnathidae.
AGUUUUUUUAAAUUGAUAUUUCCUUUAUUGAAGUUUAUUCACAUUCAUUGGCUUCUUCCAUGACGUUUAGGCUCUCUAUAUUUGUACACAACUUAUUAGUACAUUAAAUUUAAGACAGUAUGGUUGUAGUUUACUCACAAAGUAGAAAUUGUUGUAACAGAGCAAGAUGUAUCCACAAUAUCAAUAAAAUAUCCCUGACAAAAAAACAAAACAAUCUCUGCUGAGGCAUACAAACAUUUUGUUCAUCAUCAAACAGUUCAACUGAACACACAUUAACCAAAGCAAACAGAACUAUCAAGAAUCUGCAUAUUUGUAGAAAAAAAACUUCAAAGUAUCAAUAAUGACCAUUUGUAACUAUUUUUUUCGAGAAUUCUUGCUACAGUGCGCGUACGAAGUGAACCAAUGGUGACUCAACAUAGAAAAUGUCAAUGCGUAGAAGAAAUCAGUUUUUUUUUGUGUGUGUGUGUGUAUGUAUGUACACUCCAUAGUCAGUUGCGAGUGAGUGAGCAGUCGGUGACACUAAAUUUAAGUGGCAUGCAUUUUAAACCUGAGUCUAUUCGCAAUGUCAGUGGCAUCGAGCAGGCUUGGCAGUCACGGGAAUGUGGCUUACAUGAAGCGCUAGCGACCCCUUGUGGAGGAAGCCGAGUCAUACACUUUAAAUCAUUAUCAAUUCCGGUAUCCUUUUUUUUUUUUGGUCGGUGAAAAGUAUUGUCAUUAAAUUAAAAGUUAAC